This 253-nucleotide ribosomal RNA is filed under the name uncultured bacterium. RNAcentral's name for it is "partial 16S ribosomal RNA". It matches the Rfam family "Bacterial small subunit ribosomal RNA", at positions 524 to 776 of the family's 1533-position model. The record is from RNAcentral.
UACGUAGGGUGCGAGCGUUAAUCGGAAUUACUGGGCGUAAAGCGUGCGUAGGCGGUUCGUUAAGUUCGUUGUGAAAGCCCCGGGCUCAACCUGGGAACUGCAAUGGAAACUGGCGGGCUUGAGUGUGGCAGAGGGGGGUGGAAUUCCGCGUGUAGCAGUGAAAUGCGUAGAGAUGCGGAGGAACACCGAUGGCGAAGGCAGUCCCCUGGGCCUGUACUGACGCUCAUGCACGAAAGCGUGGGGAGCAAACAGG